Molecule: long non-coding RNA, 678 nt
Filed under: Prunus persica (peach)
Lineage: Eukaryota; Viridiplantae; Streptophyta; Magnoliopsida; Rosales; Rosaceae
Description: long non-coding RNA (PPER_LNC008754)
Source: RNAcentral
UAUGUCGUGUAAAUGGUUUGGGCCAGAAAGGACCUGCCUCUUGAUCCAAUCCUUGAGGAGAGGAUGUUGAUCAGCACGUUUGAUUGGCCUCUUCAGAUCAAUGUUUGCAGACCCUUGAUCACAGAAACAAGAAGAGGACAGCAAGAGAAGAGUGGUGAACAGCACAAACAAGUAGGUCUUAGGAAACUCCAUCUCUGAUUAUUGUUUGACGGCUCUUUAAACAGCCAACUACACCUUCUUAUAGGGCUUCAAUUUCCUAAUCGACUUCGGAACUUAUUGCUUUACCCUUUUUGAAUCUUCUGUGAUGCGAAUACAAGAUUUGCUUACCCUUUUUGUGCUCUAGCCUAGCUAGGGUUUCAGUCUCCUCCUAUAUGAAUAUUGUACUGCGUUGCGGUAAUCUUGAGACUUUAGGGAGACUUUGGAAAAGCCCAAAGGAGAGAGAAAAAUUUUAAAAGAAGCCGAAAUGGACAAAAUUGCCCUUAUUUAUUUUUUGAUUUCCUAAGGAAUCCUUUACAUUUGCAUGUCUUUGGUUUGAAAGUUGAGAGGUUUUUCUGUCUUUUUUGAAAAAGCUUUGGCUUUUUCCAAAAGUGAAAGUUUUUUUAUGGGUAAAACCUAAAUUUACUUUGUAGUAUUUAUUCCAUUCCACAAUAGGAAACUUGUUUUUAAUACAUUGUUUGC